Rosa rugosa (rugosa rose) is the source of this 2161-nucleotide RNA transcript. RefSeq lists it as uncharacterized. Lineage: Eukaryota; Viridiplantae; Streptophyta; Magnoliopsida; Rosales; Rosaceae. The record is from RefSeq and is a predicted model, not a curated record. The transcript is spliced from 12 exons.
UGUGAAGAAACCGAUUUCUAUGGUUAUUAUAGACAUCAGUCACCAAAUAAAACGAUGAGAAAAGUUUUGUUCGAAAAAUUUAAAAAAACGCGGAGGGACUAAGUUUUAAAGUUUGAGAACGCGGGGACUAAUAAUUUCAUUUCCCCCCACACUUAGUAUUUUUUUCCGCUUUCUCUAAAACUUUCGAACCCUACCUCCAGCAGCUCACCUUGUCGACCUCGUCAUUCUCUAAAACUUUCGAACCCUACCUCCUUCUUCAGCAGCUCACCUCGUUGACCUCACCUUGUCGACCUCAUCAUUCUCCAAGCCGCCUCUGACCUGACCCCGAGUCCCCGACGUCAAUCUCUGACCCCGUGUUCCCCUGCCUCGCUCUCUGACCCCGAGUCCCCGAUCUCAUUCUCCAGACCUCUAGACCUCGAGCUUGAUCUAUCAUCAUCUGCACUCCCAGUCCGAUCGAUCGAUCUGUUUGCCUCUUUCUCUCUGCUUUUCUCUCUCUUUCUCUCUCUCUCUCAUUAAGACCGGAAGUAUUUCUGAGACACCAAAUGCCGCCGGCGACGGAGGAACCUAACACGACGGCGUCCUCGACGACGACGACGAUGAUGAUCGACGAGAUUUAUGAGUUCUCGGCCCCGCGCUUCUUCGAUUUCAUCAAGGACGAGACCGACGAGACAAGAUCAAGGCCGAGCUCUGGUUCGACUCCGCCACAGCCUACGCCCCUUCCCAAUGACGAUGGUGGCUGGGGACUACACAUCGAAGGUCACAGCACCAUGUUCAGCACAGCUCUCAGCUAUAUUUGUAUGCGUAUUCUCUGAGAAGGACCUGAUGAUGGGGGCCAAGACAAUGCUUGUCCAAGAGCUAGAAAGUGGAUUCUUGAUCAUGAUGGUGUCACACACAUGCCCUCUUGGGGAAAGACUUGGCUUUCGAUACUUGGUUUGUUUGAUUGGUCUGGAAGCAACCCUAUGCCCCCAGAGUUUUGGAUUCUUCCUUCAUUUCUUCCUAUGCAUCCAGACCAGCAGCUCUGAUUGAUAACUUGAUAAAUUGGAGGUGUUUUUGUAAACUGGUCCAAAUACUUUUAGCCUUGGAGAUGCUUUAGGAAUUGCGCAGCACCACGAUGCAGUCACAUGCACUUCUAAACAGCACACAACAAGUGACUAUGCAAAGCGCCUGUUUAUUGGUGCCUCUGAGGCAGAAGCUGUUGUCAGUGCUGCUCUAUCAUGCCUAACUACAGGUAAAUCAGGAGAGCAAUGUAAGGACCCAGCAUUGACUUUUAGCCAGGUUCUGGUGCAUACAUUUUUCGCCCCGAGUCCUUUCCAAAAAUUGUGUCAAGAUCAGUAAACUUGAAGGUCUUUCGUGGACCACUAGUCGAUGAGAUUCACCAAGAGUUCAGUUCAUGGAUCUAUCAGGUCACUAGACUUUACAGGGACAAACAGCACACGGAAGUUGAGUUCACUAUCGGUCCAAUUCCCACCGAAGAUUAUACUGGAAGAGAGGUCAUCACUAGAAUGACAACUAAUAUGACCACAGAGAAGGUGUUCUACACUGAUUCAAAUGGAAGGGAUUUCAUAAAACGGGUUCGAGAUUAUAGAUCCGACUGGUUCCUUUUGGUUAACCAACCUGUAGCAGGAAAUUAUUAUCCAUUAAAUCUUGGCAUAUUUACCUCGGAUAAGAAAUAUGAGUUUUCGGUCCUGGUAGAUCGUGCCACUGGAGGAGCUAGCAUUAAAGAUGGAGAACUGGAGCUCAUGCUUCAUAGGUUUGAGUUUGGCAUACUGAAUUAAGCAUUCAGGUCAAUUGUGUAGAUACUUUUCACGAAGAGAAGAGCAAACGUGAAAGAAGAAAAGAAAACAAAGCUUUGACUAUGGAAUUGUUGGCUGUGGCAUAUUCGUCCUUUGUAGCCAAAAUGGAGGAGAUUAUAUAUAGGUUGGUCAUGCUGGAAUUUUCAGCCACACAGAAGUAUUCUCUUGCAUCUAAUUCAACUUACAAUGUGGAAGAGGCUGGUGAUCUGUAAGGCAGAAAUGGAGGAAUGUAUAGAUUUGAUAAUGGAAGAAUUAGAGAGUUUGUAAGAGUUAGUGAAAAAGUUUGUGAACCAGCUUUUAUGAUAUGUAAAACGAUAGCAUAUUCGGCAAACAUUAUAAGAUUAUGAUUACUACUCUUAUCGCCUAAA